This 253-nucleotide ribosomal RNA is filed under the name uncultured bacterium. Its description in RNAcentral is "partial 16S ribosomal RNA". It matches the Rfam family "Bacterial small subunit ribosomal RNA", at positions 524 to 776 of the family's 1533-position model. The record is from RNAcentral.
UACGUAGGGGGCAAGCGUUGUCCGGAUUCAUUGGGCGUAAAGAGCGUGUAGGCGGCCAGGUAGGUCGGUUGUGAAAACUGGAGGCUCAACCUUCAGAGGUCGACCGAAACCAUCUGGCUAGAGUCCGGGAGAGGAGAGUGGAAUUCCUGGUGUAGCGGUGAAAUGCGCAGAUAUCAGGAGGAACACCGGUGGCGAAGGCGGUUCUCUGGGCCUGUACUGACGCUGAGGAACGAAAGCUAGGGGAGCAAACGGG